CACAGGCUGCGGCGAGUCAAUGGGCCGCUCUCCCAGGCCGCAGUGGCUCCGAAGCAUGGGGCCCGGGCCUCCAGGCUGCAGCGCGGCACUCACAGACAUGCAUGUGUGCCCGGUCUACCCCGAGGAUUCAGCGUGUGGGCGGGGUCGCUGAGGUCGCCUCCCACUUCUGGAGCUGCUGGCAGCCACCCUGGCAGCCACCAAGACGAGAGAACCUCCCGAGAACAAAGCCGACUCACUGGAAAGGUGACCUCAGAGGUGAAGAGAGACAGAGUCCCAACGGACGACGUUGUCUGAGACCCUGUCUGAGACCCUGGAUCCAGCGAGGCCUGAAGUGAAACUAUUCAAGGCUCCUCAGAUCCAUAAGCCAAUAAAUUCCCCCUUUCGGCUUCA
Orcinus orca (killer whale) is the source of this 390-nucleotide long non-coding RNA. RefSeq lists it as uncharacterized. The record is from RefSeq and is a predicted model, not a curated record. The transcript has 2 exons. Lineage: Eukaryota; Metazoa; Chordata; Mammalia; Artiodactyla; Delphinidae.